ACAAGCGGUGGAGCAUGUGGUUUAAUUCGACGCAACGCGAAGAACCUUACCAGGGCUUGACAUCCCCUGACCGCGUAUGAAAGUACGUUUCACCCUCGGGUGACAGGGAGACAGGUGGUGCAUGGUUGUCGUCAGCUCGUGUCGUGAGAUGUUGGGUUAAGUCCCGCAACGAGCGCAACCCCUAUCUCUAGUUGCCAGCGAUUCGGUCGGGGACUCUAGAGAUACUGCCCCGGUUAACGGGGAGAAGGUGGGGAUGACGUCAAGUCCUCAUGGCCCUUAUGCCCAGGGCUACACACGUGCUACAAUGGGCGGUACAAAGGGUAGCGAUGCCGCGAGGCGAAGCCAAUCCCAAAAAGCCGUCCUCAGUUCGGAUUGGAGUCUGCAACUCGACUCCAUGAAGCCGGAAUCGCUAGUAAUCGCGGAUCAGCACGCCGCGGUGAAUACGUUCCCGGGCCUUGU
RNAcentral lists this ribosomal RNA (459 nucleotides) under uncultured Desulfobacterium sp. RNAcentral's name for it is "bacterial SSU rRNA". It matches the Rfam family "Bacterial small subunit ribosomal RNA", at positions 925 to 1384 of the family's 1533-position model. Lineage: Bacteria; Pseudomonadati; Thermodesulfobacteriota; Desulfobacteria; Desulfobacterales; Desulfobacteriaceae. The record is from RNAcentral.